AGAGGCCACAGGAAUCUCAGGCCUGUCCACUUGUCUGAUGUGGGGCCUUCAAAUUGUUCCCUGGGUUGGCCAAAAAACCAGGAGAUUUUGCCGACUUCUUUGGGGAUUCCAACUGUGUGGAAGUCAGAAGCGCCCUCCUGAGAGAAAGCGGGAAGGAAGGAAAGACUAAGCGAAGUCCUUGCCCACAGGGUUGGCUGUUCCCUCCAGAUGGUCUGUAGCCUGCUGCCAGCAGUCAGAUGCCUCUGGUCUGAAAGAUCUGUUCCAUUUCUCCUUGCUGCUGGACAGAGCCAGAAGCCCUCAUGAAAAUGUUGCUUCCUUUUCCUGUGGCUCAGGAAUUUAGGGGUGCCUUAACUGUAUGUACGUGGUCCAGGAUCUCCGUGAUGCCAAGAUGUUGGCCGGGCUACAGUGACAUGGGAGGCAUGACUGACAUUAAAGGACCUGCUUCCACGAUGGCUCACUGUUGAGGCUGGUGUUCUUUGUACCACUGAGCCCUGGAUUUAAGCCAGCUUACUCCCUGGACUGCACUGGAUCUGAGCAGACCAUCUCAACCCCUCUGCUUGCAGCAGCCAUCCGGUAUCCUCAGAGGAG
Heterocephalus glaber (naked mole-rat) is the source of this 588-nucleotide long non-coding RNA. RefSeq lists it as uncharacterized. The record is from RefSeq and is a predicted model, not a curated record. Lineage: Eukaryota; Metazoa; Chordata; Mammalia; Rodentia; Bathyergidae.